GACGAACGCUGGCGGCGUGCUUAGCACAUGCAAGUCGAACGGAAAGGCCUCUUUCGGGGGGUACUCGAGUGGCGAACGGGUGAGUAACACGUGAGUAACCUGCCCUUGACUUUGGGAUAACUUCAGGAAACUGGGGCUAAUACCGGAUAGGAGCUCCUGCUGCAUGGUGGGGGUUGGAAAGUUUCGGCGGUUGGGGAUGGACUCGCGGCUUAUCAGCUUGUUGGUGGGGUAGUGGCUUACCAAGGCUUUGACGGGUAGCCGGCCUGAGAGGGUGACCGGCGACAUUGGGACUGAGAUACGGCCCAGACUCCUACGGGAGGCAGCAGUGGGGAAUAUUGCACAAUGGGUGGAAGCCUGAUGCAGCAACGCCGUGUGCGGGAUGACGGCCUUCGGGUUGUAAACCGCUUUCGCUCAUGACGAAGCUUUGUGUGACGGUAGUGGGUAAAGAAGCACCGGCUAACUACGUG
This 467-nucleotide ribosomal RNA is filed under the name uncultured bacterium. RNAcentral describes it as "partial 16S ribosomal RNA". It matches the Rfam family "Bacterial small subunit ribosomal RNA", at positions 28 to 507 of the family's 1533-position model. The record is from RNAcentral.